This 611-nucleotide long non-coding RNA is filed under the name Cimex lectularius (bed bug). RNAcentral's name for it is "uncharacterized LOC106666775, transcript variant X3". Lineage: Eukaryota; Metazoa; Arthropoda; Insecta; Hemiptera; Cimicidae. The record is from RNAcentral.
AAAACAUUAUCAGCCAUGUAAAAUGUAAUAAAAAUAUUUGUUUUAAAAAAAUGGUAUAAAUUGCAGGGAUCUUUUCAGUUUAUUUUUACACCAGUCGGGAAACAUGUGCCAGGGCUGAGUGGCAAGGUUAUCCGGCAGAAGGUUCAAACUUCGUAGAUUGAAAAGAGCAUCUCAUUCCCGGUAGAAGGAUGUAUUUCUGUUGAUGCUUGUCUGUGAUUUAUUGCCUUUGAAACAGAUCUGAAGACGACGGAUAAAGAACCGAGAUGUUCAGAGGGAUUUUCAUAUUUGGAGCUGGGGUCUACACGGGGAUGUAUAUAGCUCAAAAUUACGAGAUUCGGCCAGUAGACAAACCACUUGUGUUAUGGGAAGAUUUGAAGAACUACGCUGACAAGUACAAAAAGUGAAAACAAAUAUUUACACCCCGGGAAGAUAUAUUGUAAUUUUGUUUUCAAUUUUCUUCUUACGAAAAUUUCAAGUUGCUAUUUCGGUGCAAAAAGUAGAAGAUCCUGCAACUGUCGUAAACAAAAUAAUUGCAUUUAUUGACGAGACUGCUAAAGAGAAAAAGAAAUAGGUGUUAAUAGAACAAUAAAAUGUUAAAUAUGUAGUAAAAA